UCGCUGUGAUGAUGGAUUCCAAAACCAUUCGUAGUUUCCACCAGAACAAUUUUGUGUUGGCCAGUUCCUUCCUUGGAUGUCUGAGCGA
Small nucleolar RNA from Ictidomys tridecemlineatus (thirteen-lined ground squirrel), 88 nucleotides. Its record names the gene SNORD14. It matches the Rfam family "Small nucleolar RNA SNORD14". From Rfam's summary of the family: U14 small nucleolar RNA (U14 snoRNA) is required for early cleavages of eukaryotic precursor rRNAs. NCBI's taxonomy places the organism in Eukaryota, Metazoa, Chordata, Mammalia, Rodentia, Sciuridae. The record is from Ensembl.